UGUAAGCGUAUAGCAAAGUUGUUGCAGUUAAAACGCUCGUAGUCGGAAUUUGGCAGUUCCGGAUGUGUGCACGUCGUGUGCGCACUUCGCGGGGAUUGCUUUUGUGGUCUUGCGUAGGAUGAGGCACUUUUAUUAGUGAACGUCCUCACGCAACCACUUUUUACUGUGAGAAAAUCAGAGUGCUCAAAGCAGGCAUUUGCCGUGAAUGUAUUAGCAUGGAAUAAUAGAAUAGGACUUGGUUCUAUUUUGUUGGUUUGUUGGGACUGAGUAAUGAUUAAGAGGGACAGUUGGGGGCAUUUGUAUUUCGGUGCUAGAGGUGAAAUUCUUAGAUUACCGAAAGACAAACUGCUGCGAAAGCGUCUGCCAAGGAUGUUUUCAUUGA
Molecule: ribosomal RNA, 382 nt
Filed under: uncultured eukaryote
Lineage: Eukaryota
Description: partial 18S ribosomal RNA
Rfam family: Eukaryotic small subunit ribosomal RNA
Source: RNAcentral